RNAcentral lists this ribosomal RNA (477 nucleotides) under uncultured bacterium. RNAcentral's name for it is "bacterial SSU rRNA". It matches the Rfam family "Bacterial small subunit ribosomal RNA", at positions 32 to 507 of the family's 1533-position model. The record is from RNAcentral.
GAGAAACGCUGGCGGCGCACAUAAGACAUGCAAGUCGAACGGAACUUAGUCGAAUGUUUACAUGAGACGAAAGUUUAGUGGCGGACGGGUGAGUAACACGUGAGCAACCUGCCUUUAAGAGGGGGGAUAACAUUGAGAAAUCAGUGCUAAUACCGCAUAAAGCAUAUUGGUCGCAUGACCGAUAUGCCAAAGGAGUAAUCCGCUUAAAGAUGGGCUCGCGGCUGAUUAGCUAGAUGGCGGGGUAACGGCCCACCAUGGCGACGAUCAGUAGCCGGUCUGAGAGGAUGAACGGCCACAUUGGGACUGAGAUACGGCCCAGACUCCUACGGGAGGCAGCAGUGGGGAAUAUUGGGCAAUGGGGGAAACCCUGAUGCAGCAACGCCGCGUGAAGGAAGAAGGCCUUCGGGUUGUAAACUUCUUUUAGCAGGGACGAAGGACGUGACGGUACCUGCAGAAAAAGCAACGGCUAACUACGUG